Molecule: ribosomal RNA, 365 nt
Filed under: uncultured bacterium
Lineage: Bacteria
Description: bacterial SSU rRNA
Rfam family: Bacterial small subunit ribosomal RNA
Source: RNAcentral
UUGUCCGGAAUAAUUGGGCGUAAAGGGCGCGUAGGCGGCUCGGUAAGUCUGGAGUGAAAGUCCUGCUUUUAAGGUGGGAAUUGCUUUGGAUACUGUCGGGCUUGAGUGCAGGAGAGGUUAGUGGAAUUCCCAGUGUAGCGGUGAAAUGCGUAGAGAUUGGGAGGAACACCAGUGGCGAAGGCGACUAACUGGACUGUAACUGACGCUGAGGCGCGAAAGUGUGGGGAGCAAACAGGAUUAGAUACCCUGGUAGUCCACACUGUAAACGAUGAAUGCUAGGUGUAGGGGGUAUCGACCCCUUCUGUGCCGCAGUCAACACAAUAAGCAUUCCGCCUGGGGAGUACGGCCGCAAGGUUGAAACUCAA